This 254-nucleotide ribosomal RNA is filed under the name uncultured bacterium. RNAcentral's name for it is "partial 16S ribosomal RNA". It matches the Rfam family "Bacterial small subunit ribosomal RNA", at positions 524 to 776 of the family's 1533-position model. The record is from RNAcentral.
UACAGAGGGUGCAAGCGUUUGUUCGGAAUUACUGGGCGUAAAGCGCGUGUAGGUGGCGAUGUAAGUCGGGUGUGAAAUCCCUCAGCUUAACUGAGGAAGUGCACUCGAUACUGUGUCGCUUGAGUGUUGGAGGGGAUGGCGGAAUUCCCGGUGUAGAGGUGAAAUUCGUAGAUAUCGGGAGGAACACCUGUGGCGAAGGCGGCCAUCUGGACAACUACUGACACUGAGACGCGAAAGCGUGGGUAGCAAACAGG